UUUGUGGAGGGGAAACUGGGAAAGGGAAUAACAUUUGAAAUAUAAAUAAAUAAAAUACCUCAUUUUAAAAAGGUUUCUAAUCCAAUAUUCCACUGUUCGAACAAUUACUGAAAGCUCCCCAUUGGGAGCUCUCAGUAUCUUAGCCUUUGUCAUUUUUAAGAAUUGUUAAAAUGUCUUAAAAUGUAUACCACCACUUUCUUUGAACUACAUGUAUAUGUUUUUAUUUUUAGUCUGGUUUUCAUGCACAGAAGUGGCAUUAUCCUGGGUUUGUUCUGAAUAUGUUUUCUACUUCCGUGCUUUCUUGCUAUGUACUGUAUAUAUUAUGGAAUGCACGUUUUACAUGAACAGCUGUAGAGAACACAGUGUACAGCUGCAUGUUUAUUUGCAACACAUUUAUCGUGGUUAUGAGCAGUCAGGGUACUUGGCUAUGCCUUUGUGGGAGGAAAUAUUUACCAAUAGAGAUGAUGGACUAGAUAUUGAAGUUCAUGGCUUUCUUGUACUAUAUCCCAUGUUCAUUUUGGAUCAACAUAGUCUUAUCAAGUUUUAGUGUGGUUUAUUUGUCAUAGAUAUUGAUGGCUUAUGUGGCUAUUAGAAGCUGAUUAAAGAAGAACAUGACAAGCAAUUAUAAAAUAUAAAAUAUUCUUUUCAGCAUCAAAGGGAGACUGUGAAUAUUCCCCCAGAUUUUUAUGCAAUAAAGUAUCUAACAUUUUAAAAAGCCAAUUAGGGGAGCUACUUAACUGUUAAUUUGGAUUUAUGCCCCACUAAAUCAGUUUGCUUGCUAAUGUUUUCAAUAACAAUUGAUGGAAUGUGCAGUUUGUUGCAAUAAUCAAUAUUCAGUAGAAAUGUACAAUGUAUUGCAAACUAACACCUGAUAGAUUGCUGUUGCAUACAUUUUCUUAAAUAGGUUAAAACUGAGCCAAAUUCUAUUAUCCCAAGUUUCAUUAAAGAAAUAUAUUUCAUGGAAGGGUUCAACAGAAAGUGGAGACAAUUUAAAAAUAGAAGUAUGUUCAGAAGGACAUUUCAAGUAAACGAUGUGAAUAAAGUGUCAAAAUAAGAACCAAUAGAACAUUCCAAAUUAUAAUUGCCUAAGUAAAGUACUAUUUAUUCUCUGGUUACAGAAGUGUAUGUAGCUCAAAACUAUUUGCAACUCUUUGUCUUUUCUGCCAUUAGUUACAAAGGACAUGAAAUAUAUCAUGUAUUCUUUUGUUCUCUGACAAUAUUUAUAAAUGAAAUAAAAAAGUUUGUCUGAUAGAGUUUCCAAUUGAUAAGUGAAGAGAUGAAUAGCUGGGAAAUAUGAACAAACAAUAAAUACCAGAUUAUAUGUAUGUGUCUAUUAGGUAGCAAGCUAGUAUAUAGUACCUUUAAUGGGGAAGUAAAGUGAAAUGCAGAUAUAUCUGACAUAGUAGGAGUGAUGAGACUGCGAUUCCAAGACGGGUGAUAUUUUCAGGUGUUUCUGAGCCACACUGCUUCAGAUAUUAUAAACAUGAAAACUUAGAUAAUUAUUAAAGUUAUCUCUUGGCCACAACUACCACUUUGUUACUUAGACAUUGAGAUACAUUUUAACAAUAAGCACAGAUAAGCUGAAAUUGCUAGGUUUUAUCUUUGAACUCACAGCAAAAUUAUUUGUUUCUUGCAGUAAAAGGAACCUACAUUUUAAUAACUGUGAAUUGCAAUAGUAGAUAAGGGCUACUUCAACUUUGUCCUUAUGAAAACAAAAACAGAAUCUGGGAGGUAAACAUUUAUGUGAUGAGGCAGUUUAGUUUUGCCUAUGUCUAUUGGUGAUAAAAUUAGUACAGAUCUGGAGCAAGUGAUUGCUUCACCGCACCUGGCAGGGGUUAGGAGGGAAUGUCCCACCUUGGAACAGAAUACUCUUUUCAGAGGCUGCCAUUUAGGAGACAACAGAAAGGAGGGUAACAUACAGAUUCUGCCUUCUUGGCUUUACCACUUUCUAAGUGACAAUAAAACAGAACUCAAAUCCAGUGUUCUACUCAGUGGACUCUACCUCAAAAUAGUACCUUUCAGUAUUUAUCAAAAUAUAGUAGCACUCCUGUUAGGGGAAGAAACAUUAGAUACAGACGGUCAGUUCAUCUCAAAGGAACCCAGAAGCAUGAAGUUUACUUUAGGCUACACAGAAUUCAGGAAACAUAACAUUGCAUGUAGUUCAUUCUCAUUUGAAAAUAUUUCCCCAGGGCUUGAACAUUUCCUAGGCAGCCAUAUUUGCCAGCUGUUUCAGUGAGACCUGGGUCUCAAGUCAGUAAAAUAAAGCCUAAUAGGGGAAGACACAUGGCUUCCUGUUCUGAUCACUGCCCACCACAAUUGGGUGUGGGCAUCUGAAUUCUUACUCACAUAAUCAAUGGACAUUUAUCACUCAUACACACAGACUUUGUGUGUGUGUGUGUGUGUGUGUGUGUGUGUGUGUGUGUGUGUGUCUCCCACUGACAUGUGUACAUAUUGAAGUGAAUACUUAUUUAAAGGUAGUUAAGUUUUUCAUGUACUUUGUAUUAUGUUCUAUAUAACUCUAACCAAGAAGGGUAAAUAUCUAUUAUACAUUAUGUAUUAUAUAUUGCAUUUUACAUGUUAUAUAAUACAUAUAUAUAUACAUUAUUUACAUACAGGUUUGGAAAAAAGGUGAUGUGCAGCUCCAUGAUGAAAAAGUCAGAUUCCUCAAAUUUAAGAAAAAAAUAUCACACCAUGUCCCUUAUGCCAAGUUCUAGGUUGAAUUAUCACUUGUUAAAAGCACAUUUUCAUGACUCAGAUUUGUAUACAAAAUUCAUGACAUAGAAAAACAAAAUGUCUACUUAUAAAAUUGACUGUUUUCAUAUAAGCAAAUAGAUAGCUAAGAAGCAAGUGUCAUAGGAAAUACUUUAAUGCUAGUAUUUUCAACUUACAUCUUACUUAAAUUGUUCUAGACUAUCAUUUACUGAAAAUGUAAACUUGCUUUAAUGACUUUAUUUAUCUCCGCUGACACGAAAUUCUUUAUGACAGUUAGACAACUUUAACUAUUGAAAACAAUAAUCUUCCUUUUUACCUUAUCUUGAGUCUCAGCCAAACUACCACAGUCAUGACAAUUCUCCUUUGUGUUCUUUCAUUCUUUUUUAACUAUAAUUUGUCUAAUUUUUCCUUCCUCCACAAUUUUGAUGUUGACAAUUCAUUCAUUAAUUUUCUCUAUUAGUAAAUACUAAGUAAGAUUCCUGUAAAGCAGACAAUAAUAUUUUGUUUCACUUUACUUUACAUAGCAGCCGUACUGGAAUUUAUACUCUUGGGGAGACUAAGGUCAGGUAGACCACCGAGCAAAUAAGUUAUUAUUAAAAGACACUGAGAUAGUGAUAGUGAAUUAGUGAAGUAAAGGAUAAAAAAGUGAAACAAAUUCAACUAAAAUUGACCUACACAAAUACAAUAUACUUUUGGUCCACCACACUUAAAAUGAGAGUUAGUGUUGGCUUCAUACAAAGUGUUAUGGAGACACAGAGGAGAUUCUGACAGCUACCUUUAUGAACAUACUGAAGAUCCGACGGGAACAUUUCAUAAAAGAGCUAUUGAGCACAGAAUAUGGUCAGCUGAAAAUAAGAAGAAACGACACUAAAGACAUAUAUCAAAUGAUGCACGUGAUGUGCAAAUUAAAGAAAAUAGGCAGGAGGAGGAAGGGAAAGAGAACAGAGUGGUGAUGAAGGUAAGGAAAAGGCAUGAUGGAGGUGGUGAAAGAUAUAAAGGUCAUGUAAGGAAAAGAGACUGAGGGUGGAGAUAGAAUGGGAAGAGGUACAGCCAGGAGAUCAGAGUCACGGUGGAUAAAAGUAUCACCAAGACAUAGUUUGUUUUUUUUUUUAAAUCUCAUAAUAGCAUCUAAUACCUUGAACGCUAAAAUUAUUAAUUUUAAGAACAGUGCAGAAUGUGGUAUUUUGGUUCUAUGGUGCUCUUCUCUCUGGUGUUUAGUGAUCUCAUUUUUAUCCAUCUUCCUGCCUGAAGUUUAUUUUUGCUUUUCUCUUUUCAUUGUAGCCAAAGGUUCUCUAUGCUUGGCUUCUCCAGCCCUCUAAUGCUGGAAGGAUGUGGUUCUACUCAGUACUAGACAGAUAUCUUUCAGGUUAUUCCACAGCUACAUUUAGUUGAUCAGGCAGACCUUCUGACAUAGAAACUUUAGAUGAGAGAGGAUACGAACAAAAUUGAAAUGUAUACUAUUUCAGGGAACAAAUUCUGAUCCUUUCUCUGAAGAAAUGCCCUACUACCGAAUUUCAGCCUUACUUCAAGUGAGGAUUUGAUAACUAUUAAAUUACAACCUGUAUCAUGGCCAUCAUUACGAUGUAAUUGUAUGCACGUAUUUGAAAUAAUUGACUUGAUUCUCAAGCAAAUGGUAAAUUAGAUAUCUUGCAAAAAAAAAGUACUUGACAAGUACAUGGGCCCGCUGAUUGCUUUUAUACUAAACCUUUCUGUGGAUUGCAUUCUUAUAAGUAGCUGCUUUGGGUGGUUGCUGAUUUUAAUGGAAGAUAUCUGUCUUUCACUAAGUCAACUAGAUCUGCAAUCAAUACAAAGCUUAAGCUUUAUAUGUCCAUCCUCGUAAAGAUAUAGAAAUUUAUUAAGAAUAAUAAAGUAUGACUUAAUGACUCUUGGGAAUCCCUCAGAGUUUGUUAAUAAGCCUCCUUUUCUUUUCUGAUAGUAUUAACAUGGAUAUUUUCUGUCUUUCAGUUUGGUUAAUGGUUUGUCUAUCUUGUCGAUUUUUCUCAAAGAAGCAAAACUUCAUUUUAUUGAUUCAUUGUAGUUAUCUUUGUUUCUAUUGUAUUGAUUUCAGCCCUCAAUUUAAUUAAUUCCUGAUGUCUGUUCUUACGCCUAUGACCUAAGUCCUCUUGAUAUACAUUAUAAUUGUGUAACUUUGUGUUGGAGCAUUGUCUCCUCUGUUGUUCAGUGACUCUAUUUAGAUUUCUUUUGGGUGAGAAUGUAUUUUAAGAAGGCUCCAUUGAAGUAGGUUUCUUCAUAACCCCUCAAACAGAACUUAUUGUUAGUUUCCUUUCCCUAUAUUACCUUUCCUACCCUCCAUUCUUCCCUCCUCCUCCUCCUGAUUUAAUCCUCCUGUUGCAUUAUUGCUCCAUAAAUAUAUAUUCUAUAUUUCUUCCUAGAAAGAUUCCUCCUGUUAAACUUUUACUCAAUACCAUCCUUUGUGCUUACAGGGUAUGUAUCAUGCCUUUCAAAGACUUUAACUACUACUUUCAGAAUAUAUAACAUGCUUUGGAUAUUUUUUUGGGGGGUGGGUUUUUUUUUAUUUGGGUUUCUUUUAUUAGAGUUCUGAAUUAUCUCACUCUUUUACCUGCAAGAUUAACAACUUUAUUAUUUUCAAUAGCUGAAUUAUUGUCAUUGUAUAAAUAUAUCACAAUUUUGUUAUCUAUUCAUCUGUUGAUGGCAACCUAAGAGAUUGUAGUUACUGGCUAAUUUGAAUAGAGCAGAAGUGAAGAUUGAUAUACAAGGGUCUCUACCUUGUCAUCAAGCCCUGCUGUUCUGAUUUUACCAUGAUGCACUUUAAAGGAAGCUUUUCAUUUAAUCUAUUUUGUUAAUAUUAAAGAAGAAAUAAUACUAGAAAUUGUAAUAAACAUACUCAAGCACAAUCUUGAGACAUUCUUUGAUAUGUUUCCCUUUACUCAUAAAAUGAGAACAGAGUAUAACUGUAUAAUUUUACAAUUAGAAAUAUUUGAAAUGAAUAAUAUUAAAUUUUCAUUGGUUAUUUUAUUUAUUUAAACUUCAAAUGUUAUCCCUCUUCCCAGUUUCCUCUCCAAAGCCCCCUAUCCCUCCUCCUUCCCAUCUGCCUCUGUGAGGGUACUCCCCCACCUGCCUACUCAGUCCUGCCUCAAUGGCCUGGCAUUCUCCUAUCCUGGAUCAUCAAGCCUCCAUAGGACCAAAGGGCUUCCCUCCCAGUGAUGUCAGAUAAGACAACACUCUGCUAUCUAUCCAGCUAGAGCCAUGGGUACCACCUGUGUACUCUUUGGUUGGUGGUUUAGUGCCUGGGAGCUUUGGGGAGGUCUGGUUGGUUGAUGUUUUUCUUCCUAUGAGAUUUCAAACCCCUUUAUCUUCUAUACUCCUUGCCCUUAUUUUCUCCACUGGGGUCUCCACGCUCAGUCCAAUAUUUGAUUCUGUACAUCUGCAUAUGUAUUGCUCUGUCUCUUGAAGAGCAUCUCAGUGGUCAGCUAUACUGGGCUCUUGUUAGUAAAGCAUUUCUUGGCAUCAACAAUAGGGUCUAGGAAUAAUAUUAAAAAUUAAACAAAAUAAUUCUUUACGAAAGAUCCAUUUGUUCACUGGAAGUUUUUUUCUGUAACAUUUCUGAACGUUUAAAGAAGAAUACUUAGUACAUGAAACAAGAAACUAAAUGUCUUAGUUGGCUUGUCCUAUUUAGAAAGAGUAAACUAGAAACCACCUACACGGAUUCUAUCAAACCCUUCUAUUGAGAGUGGGAGAUUAAGCUCAGUUUCUUCAGUACUGAAAUAAAAUGGUAAUAGAAAGAAAAGCCAAGUAGAGAAAUAAAGACAGAUGAGCCCAGAGAGGUUUUGGUAAUUGGAUUUUUACUGCCCCCGAUGGCACAUGGUGCAAUAGCACAUAAUUAGUAUAUCUAGUAAAUAAAUUAAUGACAAGGGGAUUUCGUCAGCAAUGGUCUCUCACAAAUAUUGCCUACCAGGGAAAACGAAGUCAGUUUUCCUUUAUCAAACUUCCACUAAAUGACACUUUUUUAAAGGAUUCAGAAAAAAGAAUGAAAAGGUGAAAUCACAUUAUGCAGAUCUGAUCUGAAUAUAACAGUAAUAUUUUAGAUCAAUGAUACCAAACUUGUACCUGAAGUAAAAAUGGAGAUUCGACAAUCUGAAUAAAAGAAAAGAGAGAGAAAAAAGAAGACCUUUCCCUGAAAUCUGAGCUGCAAUUAAAGUUUUGUGUUAUUGGAAGGAUACAUAUAGACAAUACAGUGCUCCACGUAUUUUCUCUUCUGCAAAUCUUCAUCAGAGUAUGGGUUUCUCUCCUUAGUCUAUUUGUUCUUCAAAAACAAAUAAACAGAAUGAGGUCAAGUAUAGAGUUUGUUAUAUAUUCUACAGGCAGUAAUUCUGUCAAAAUAAAUCUCCCAAGAAAAGUCAGAAUCUUAGGAAUGCUAGAAAAGGUGAAGAUUUGAGAAGGCCCAAAAACACAGCAGCAAUAAUCUUCGGACUAAUAUGGGCAUAUUUGCCAUUUGCAACUGAGAGCACUGUAGGAGAGAAAAGAGCACGCAGUUGUGCAUGUUUUGCCUGAGGAGCAGUGACCCGUUUCCUGUCUGCUCUACCCAUUUCUCAUACUCUGUACCUGCCCUUUGGAUAUUUUUAAAAUUACAAUUCAAAUGUUAUCCCAUCUCCCGGUUUCCUGUCCAUAAACUCCCUAUCCCAACCCUCCUACCACAACUUCUAUAAGGGUGUUCUCCCACCUAACCACCCACCCCGUCCCUCCUCCCAGCUCUGAUAUUCACCUACACUGAGGAAUCCAGCAUUUGUAGGACCAAGGGCUUCUCCUCCUAUUUGUACCCAACAAGGCCAUCCUCAGCUACAUAUCCACGUGGAGCCAUGGGUCCGUCCAUGUGUACUCUUUGGGUAGUGGCUUAGUCACUGUGAGCUCUGGUUGAUUAGUAUUGUUGUUCUUAUGGGGUUGCAAACCCCUUCAGGUCUUUCAAUCCUUUCUCUACUCCUGCAGUGGGGACCCCAUUCUUAGUUAAAUGGUUGGCUGCUAGCAUUCACCUCUGUAUUUGUCAUGCUCUGGCAGAGCCUCUCAGGAGACAGCUAUAUCAGGCUCCUGUUAUCAUGCCCUUUUUGGCAUCAGCAAUACUCUCUGGGUUUGGUGGCUGUAUGUGGGAUGGAUCCCCACGUGCAACAGGCUCUGAAUAGCCGUUACUUCAAUCUCUGCUCCAAACUUUGUCUCCAAAUCUCCUUCUAUGAAUAUUUUGCUUCCCCUUUUAACAAGGACUAAAGAAUCGGCACUUUAGUCAUUCUUCCUUUAUUUCUUCCUCGACCUAGUUAUCAUUGAGUAGAGCAUUGUUCAACUUCAAUAUGUAUAUGGACUUUCAGUUGUAUUUGUUGUUAUUGAAGAGCAGCCUUAGUCUGUUGUGAUCUGAUAAGAUGUAUGGGAUUAUUUCCAUCUUCUUUUAUGUUUUGAGGCCUGUUUUAUAGUCAAUUUUGGAGAAGGUACCAUGAUGUGCUGAGAAGAUGGUAUAUUCUUUUGUUUCAGGAUGACAUGUCCUGUAAAUAUUUGUUAGAUACAUUUGGUUCAUAAUCUCUUUUAGUUUCUCUGUGUCUCUGUCCUGUUUCUGUUUCCAUGAUCUGUCCAUUGAUGAGAGUGGGGUGUUGAAGUCUCCCACUAUUAUUGUUUGAGGUGCAAUAUGUGCUUUGACCUUUAGUAAGGUUUCUUUUAUAAAUGUAGGUGCCUCUUCAUUUGAAGCACAGAUAUUCAGGAUUGAGAGUUCAUCUUGGUGGAUUUUUCCUUUGGUGAAUAUGAAGUGUCCUUCCUUAUCUUUUUUGGUAACUUUUGGUUGAAAGUAGAUUUUAUUGGAUAUUAGACUGCCUACUCCAGCUUGUUUCUUGGGACCAUUUGCUUGAAAAAUUGUUUCCCAUCCUUUUAAUCUCAGGUAGUGUCUGUCUUUGUCACUAGGCUGUGUUUCCUGUGUGCAGCAAAAUGCUGUGUCCUCUUUCUGAAUCCGGUCUGUUUGUCUAUGUCUUUUUACUAGGUAAUUGAGUCUUUGAUGUUAAGUGAAAUUAAGGAAUAGUGAAUGUUGUUUCUUGUUACUUUUGCUGUUAGAGGUGGAAUUCUGUUUGUGUGUCUCUGUCAGAAACUUUGUUGCUGUUGUUUUCUUCCCUUUCUUUUGAAAAAGACUGAAAAUGCAUAGAAACCUGUCAACAAGGUUUUAAACCUGUAGCUGUUUAAAAGCUUGUGGUCCCGUACCUUCCUCAUUUCUAGGCAUUUGGAAAACAUAAGACAGAGUUCACGGACUUGGUGGAGGAAAGAGUGUGAAACAAUGGGCAGAGGAAUGAGGUUCUUCCGGCCUGAAGCACUCAAAGCAUGAGGUACCCAUGCCGUACUAAACCCCUAAAAGUGACUGCAUUGUCAUUAGAAGGCCUCGAGUUAUCUUUUCAAAGUCAGAUGAUGAUAACCCUGACCUCAUGUUUUUUCUCCUUUAUACAUAAAGUUUGACUAAUUUUGUUUUUAGACAAAAGAUUAAAAAACUAAUGAUGAUAGUAAUAAUAACAACUAUUAUUAAUAUAAAUAUGCAGAAUAUGCCUAAAUAAACUUGCUGAAAAUGGUCAUUGGAGUAAUAUAUUGCCUUAAUUUUUUAAAUAUUUUAAAUAUUUUUGUAAUUAAUCACAGAACAGAAAUAUGUUCACCUGUAGGUUAUAUGUGAGUUUGUAUAUGUCAGUCUUCCAUCACAGUAGUGAAGCCUCUGCUGUGCUUAAGGCUAAACUCUUAUAAUUUCAGUUACUAUAAAGGAAAUUGGCAUAGACUUGUGACCUCCUCAUGUACAUGAAUGGGCAAGCAUACCCAAGUAUACCCAAUAUAUAAACAUAUGUAUAUACAUAUGCACACAUGCACGCGCGCGCGCGCGCACACACACACACACACACACACACAGAGAGAGAGAGAAAGAGAGAGAGAGAGAGAGAGAGCGCAAUAGAAAAAAGCAAGAGAAAGGAGUUCAACAAAAAUUAUCUGCAUCAACAUAAGAAAUAAAUCUGUUUCUUCAUAAAUGUUUAUGUGUAUAAGGAAACCCAAAUUGCAUAAUGUUUCACAUCAAAAAUAUGUUCUAUUAAAGUUUUAAGACUUCAUGUAAUAAGUUUUAAAGGAUAUGAAUAAUUAAAUGAAAACUUUGAAAUACAGUUGUAUUAUUCACAUUAGAUUGUAUAUAAUUUAAUAAUAAAUCAUGCUUAAUGAGAGUGGUUCAAGAAUAAAAAUCACAUGCAGAUAAUAUAAUAGCUGUAUUUCUGGUUUUUAUUAUGGUUUGCAUAGUUAUAAUAUUUAUCUUACAUAGUGAAAAUUGUUGUUAAUGAAAUAACAUUCUGAUACCAUGUAAAAUAUUCUUUAAUCCAAGAAUUUUCGCACUGAUAUUUAAGCACCAAAAUUACAGUUCAGUGGAUCAGAGAGGUACGUUCGUAAUUUAGUGGGAAAAUGCAAAUUCCCAUUGCAUAUGCUUUGGCAAAAGUAGAUUCUAAGUAAUAGUAUGAACAAUUUGAAGUGUUUGUGAUUUAUUCUUAGAAAAUAACUUUCUAUUAUUUGUUCUUAAUUUGCACACAUGUUUUGUAGGGAGAAAUUCUACAUUGUGAUAAUAAAGAAAAACAAUUGUAACUUGCAUCCUUUCAUAAGAGAAAUAAUUGCUCUCAUAAUCACCCAUCUCUGUAAAUGAAGAGGGAAUUCAUAGGGCAUUCAAUUUGUAGAUAAAGCAUUAGUCAAUAUUAGUUUAUAUUCUGGCUGUUCACACACACUAUAUGGGCUUACAUCUUUCUAAAGAUAAAUUAAAAUACUUGCAGCAUAUACAUGGAUAUAAAAUACUAUUAAAGUGAAUAUUCAAUUCCACUAAGUAUACAGUCCUGUCUGCCUGACUGUCUGACAGACCCUCCUAUAUUUCCUGUUGGAUCAACAGCUGUUGUAAUAUUAUUAUUCUACAUGAUCUUCAAUUUAACAAAGGAUGAUUCAGGAACUUAUAUUUCCUCUUUAUUGAUAGAUAAGGAACUAAGGAAAUGCAGCAUCCAAUAUUAGAGUGUCGCUGUUGAAUUUCAAGGUUGGUAAUUGUGCAGAACUAAUGUCCGUGGUUGGGGUGUGUGUGUGCGAGCUAUGCAUAUGUGCUUAUGCAUUUUAAUUUGAGGGAUUUAUGGUGACUGCUCACCUGUGUUUUCAGUAUUUAAAUAUCUGCACAGAUGGAUCAUCCGGGUGUUGCAGAUGGUUUAUUUGAAUUGCAUGUUUGGAUCGUUAAUGUGGUGUAUAAACUUCAAGACCACGCCUUCUCUCUAGAAUAUCUGAAUAUUUAUGGAAUUAAAUCUAGUUGUUUCCUCUAAAUGCAAUAAUCUAGUUAUCAUUUUGAAAGCAUUUCUAUCAGAGAUAAUAAAUAGUUUGCUUUAUCUACUCUGCAUAUGUAACUGAACAGAUGGAAAUGUUCAACUGGUUUAUAUUUUGAAGCAACAACUUUCAUGGGUGUUGAGGAAGAUUUAGAAAAAGAAAUUUCAAUCAAGUUAAGUAAAGGAGAAGUAGAUGUUGGUUUCCUUUUUCUAUGGUGAUUUAAUUAAGAUUUACCCAAAUAAUUAAGUCUUUCCAUAUCUCUAUGAUACUUUGACUUUAUUGAAUGAUUUGCAGUGUUCAAAGACCACAUUUAAUUUUCCUUCCACAUGUGUUUCUGGAAAAGCAAUUUAGGAAAAUAUCUUUAUCUUUGAACAUAGUUCUAAGAUGGUUUAUUGCCAACCUGUUCUAGCAAUGCUAUAAAAAGCAUUAAGAUGGCAUAAAUUUCUCAGAUUACAUAUUUAGCUGGUCUGUGGAGUAACAGAAUGCUCACACUUGCAUUGGAAAUACUUAUUAAUUAUUGACAUAAAAUGGUAGGCAGUGCAAAAGCUGAAAUGCUUAAAUGAAUUUAGAAAUAUUACAUUUUCCAAAACAAAAUGCUAAAGUAUUAUUACACCAUAUGUUGAGAUGAUCAUAGCAUAUAAUGGAAAAAUUUGAGAAAAAGUUUUGAACCUUCCUUUGUAAGACCUUCCUAUAAGAAACAAAUUAGUAGCUUGUUUCCUAGUUAAUGGUCUAAAGGUCGAUUUAAUUUUGGUAGAUUUCAUUUACGGAAGAUUUGACAUAUUUCAAACUGCUGUGUGAUUUCCAGAAAGAACUGAAUAUGGAAUAGAGAGUCUCAAUCAUCUCAGAAAAACAAGAAAACAAUUAUGGACUAAUUCUCCUUAAUAGUUAUACAUAAAGCAUUCAAAAAUGAGCAGACGGGAAUCUAAUUUGUUUUUCUAAUUAUUAUAAUUAACCAGGGAACGUUUUAAGUGUUUUCUUUUAAGUUUACAAAUAAAUGUGUGUCUCUUCUUCUCUUCAGAGUUUGUUGAGGUGUGGUGCUUAUUGUAGGACUGUGCAGGACAGCCUUUAGCAUACUUCUGCAUGUCAGCUAAAUAUCACUGACAGAAGGGUCACAUUAUUAAGAAUAUGAUAACAUUCCGACUUGGUACAUGCCUUUAUAUCUGUAUAUCACUUUUGCAAGACAAUUAAAAACAUCUCUCUUGAGAAGGAACUCAGAUCAACUCAGGAUGAAGUGAGAGAGAAUACUCAAAUGAAAUAAAUUUUUAUUCCCCCAUGUCAUCUAAAAUAUGUUGUAAGCACUCCAGCAAUCCCUGAGUGACCAAGAAAGCACAGAGUUGACUAAUAUUAACUGUGUGGCACCUUAGGAGCUCGAGUUAUGCCGAUGUCAGCUCUUAAUUAGUGCAGCUCCACACUGUGAAGGAGAUUUAAAAACAAUGGGGCAUCAUUAGUGGACAUUCAUAGUACAAUAUUUUGCCAACUUACGAAAUGUCUGUUUAUGAGCCAUCCACAGGGUCCCACUAAAAAGAAAGCAAUUUCUUAACUCCUUUGGUAGUCUGUGAAGUAAAACUUCAGCCGCAGGCACCAUCUUAUAAAAAGAAAUGGAGAGAAAACAUAAGAUGCAUGCCUACUCGUGGACAGAUCUGUGAUUGCUGGUAAGCCGGCCAUAGUGUAGAGCAGACUAAGUCACUGCCAGUUCAGGUGAGGAUUCUGUUCUGGACUGGCAAUUUGAAGCCUGCCAACUACCUUGCUUAAGAAGGUGAGUGUUUAAUGUUGCCAAAUAUUUGAUUUAUGGGGGUUUCAGAUUAAUUUCAAGAGGAAUUACGAAGUGAAUGACUUUAAAAAAAUCACAGUCGCGUGUGCUGAGAGCAACCCAUGCAGAGGUUCACAAUGUUGGAUAGCUGGAGUCAGUGAUCCCUACUGUGAUGUGAUCUUCCAUUUUUCUUAGCUGUUUAUUUUAACUGUACUUACAAAGCACAACAUAUCUGCCUUGAGAAGGAACUGCAGGUAUGAACAGGAGACUGCGUGUACAUGUAGAUGCUACUUAUUGUACAAAAAUUAAGAUAUGAUCUGUCAUCUCUAUAGGUGAUGCAGAAAACAAUUUAUAUAGUAGAAUUGAAAAUGUAAAGGCAGUGGCACUUUUAUUGGAUAACAUGGAAGCUCCUUAUGACUUAUUGUAAUAACAAUGUCACUCUUCCCCAUGGAAUAUGCACAGUGCUCACAUCAGGGAUUUUAGUAGUACUCUUUCCUUCCCAUAUUAUGACUGUCUGUAAGAUGAUUAACUGUAAAUAAUAUUGCUACUAUUAUAUUUUUACAGGAUUUACAUUAUUCAUCAUAUGCAUGGUUGUAUUGAAAUAGAGUCCUUUUGUAAAUAAAAGAAUGAACAUUUAUACUAAAAUGAAAUAAUUAUCAUCAGUUACAAAAUAUAAAGUGUUUAGAAUUAAAUUAAUUUCCUUUAGCUUGUUCUUCAUCUAUUGGAUUGUUCUCAAGCUCGAGAACAUAAAAGAGAAUCAUAUACUAACUUCUACAUUUGACAUGAAAUAUGGAUAAUUAAUCUUAAUGUCUGUUUGAAUGAAUAGGUAUAUUUUUCAAGGUGCAUUUAAAUGACAUAAAACUGGAUAGCUGACUCACAUUCAGAUUUAUCAAACUCUAAACAUGAAUUUAUCUAAUCUAAUCUAUAUACAGAUAUAUACAUAUUUAUUAAUAUAAAUAUAUGUAUUUAGGAAUAGAAUAAACUAUUGUAUAAAAUACUGGUAUCUCUUAUUCUUACAUUAUUUAGUUUCUUUUGAAAUAUUUGAUAUUCAUGUAUCAUUGUUCCUGUCAUCAUAAAUUAUAAAUGUAUGUAUUAUAUAGACGUAGGUAUAAGUUAGGAAUUCUACAAGGUUUCCUAACCUCCCUCACACACACAGUCCAUUAAUAAAGAACAUAUACCUAUUAAAUAUUUUCUGUGAAAUUGAUAGUUUAAGGUUGUUAUAUACUCCACAGCUAGGAUUUUUUUAAAGCUUUCACAAUGCAUAAAUCUUGAAAGGACAUGUCAACUUCUUAGACUCCAGUAUUCAUGGAGUUAUAGAUAUUUACAUCUCUUAAUUUUUUCUUGGGAGAUCUUAAAUGAUGGAUUAUUUAAUAUCCAUUAUGCAAAGCAAGUCACCCUGUUCUAACAUUCACCUGUCCAUCAUGCUCACUUUCAACUUUAUUCUUACAUAAGAAAAAAGAAAUCAGUUUAGCAGGGCAUCUUCUAUAGCAAGCAGCCUAACCAUAACUUUUGUGAUCAUCCUUAGUCCUGGAGAUGCAUCUGUGCCUCGACUAGACAUUUCCCAAUAAAUCAAAUAUCCACACUUUGUAAAACAAAUGGGGCUUUACAAAAUCAGGUAAAUUUUUUAUACAGCAUCAAACAGAUCAGAGAAAAAUAAAGUACAUCACAGUGAAAAUAAAAGAAUAUUUUAUUAAUUAGAUAUGCUUUCAAACAGGGUGGAGAAGAGGGUUAUCUGUUAAUUGAUCUGCAUUGCACCAGGGAAAUGUAGAGAAGAAUAUCAUGUUUAUGCAGCUGAGUGGUUGACAUUACUCUUUUAAAAGUGAGAAUAAUUGAGAUAAGGAAGAAAACAUGGAGAGGAGCUUAGACCACAUUCCAUAGAUGAGGAGACCAUGAAUCACCACUAGAUAGAACAGAAUACUGGCUCGGUAAAAUAGUAGUAAACUGUUUUAUUGGAUAUAUUUUUAUUUACAUUUCACAUGUUAUCCCUUCUCCUUUUCCCCCCUCUGGAAACCCCCAUCUUUUCCCCCUCUCCCUGUUUCUGUGAGGGUGCUCCCCCACCCACAAUCCCAUUCCUGCCCACCCACCUUGUAUUCCCCUACACUGGGGUAUCGAGCAUUCACAGGACCAAGGACCUUUCUUCCCAUUGAUGCCACACAAUACCAUCCUCUGCUACAUAUGUGAUUGGAGCCAUAGAUCCCUCCAUGUAUACUCUUUGGUUGUUGGUUUAGUCCCUGGAUGCUCUUGAGUGUUUGAUUGGUUGAUAUUGUUGUUCUUCCUAUGGGGUUGCAAAUUCCUUCAGUUCCUUUAGUCCUUUCUCUAACUCCCAGUGCUAAGUUCAAUGGUUGGCCGUGGGCAUCCACCUGUUUGCCAGGCUCUGGCAGAACCUCUCAGGAGACAGCUAUAUCAGUCUCUAUCAACAAGCACUUGGCAUCUGCAAUAGUGUCUGGUUUUGGUGCCUGUAUAUGGGAUGGAUCCCCAGGUAAGAUGUGGGAGAAGACAGGGAUGAUACACAGAGGGUAAGGAAUUUAAACAGAGGCAUAAAGCAAUGGGUGAUGAGGAACUGGGUGUAGCCACCAGCAAGUCCCAGAUGCCAGGAAUGCAAGAGUCUCCCAGAGCACAACAGGCAUGAGAUUAGCUGAAAUGUCCAAUAAAGGGGAGAGAGAACCUUUAGAGACCAUAUCCAGAGGUUAGGCAAGGCCCUCUGUUGAGGGAUGGGGCCACCCAAUCAUCUCCAAAUUUUUACCCAGAAUCUCUCCCGUCUAAAGGAAAUAGGGAGGCAAAGUGUGGAGCAGAGACUGAAGUAAAGACCAUUAAGAGGAGUAAACUUUAACGUUAAAGUAAAAUUGAAGAAACAGAGAUGUUUCCUCUGCAGACAAGAGAUGUUACUGUUGUUAAUGUUGAAAAAACAUGAAAUGGGCUCUGGCAGAGGAAUUGCCUUUUAUUUGUAGCACCUGUACUCAGCAGUUGACAGCUGCCUGUCGAUCCAAUUUCGGUGACAUCCAAUGCUUCUGCCUUCUAUCAACACUCGCACACUUGAACUCAAGUAUAUACAACUAAAAAUAAUAGAAAUAGUCUUUAAAAUUCAUGGAGAACUUUGACAUGUGAAGUGGAGCUCCUGAAGAAACUAUUAUUGAAUGGCUUCCGACUAGUUGGGAGAGAGAAUUGCAGUAACACUUUUCUGUCAUUGCCAGUAGUUCCCAAGGUGAUGAGAAACUCCUAGGAAUAACAUGUAGAAACUCCUUCAGCUGUUAGCUCUGUUCUUGAGAAAGUUCAACAUUAUCCUCUCCAUUUGCUUAUCAAAUAUAUUUAUAAAUAUAACAAGCAGAUUAUUCUUUCAUAUAAAACAAAAGGCCUUACAUGAAAAUUAUCAGACUACAACAUAUUAUAUGCUAUACCUGUCCCCAAAAUAGACCCUAUUUUGAAAGUAAUUCUAAUUUUUCUACACUUGAUUUAGUUCCCAAAUAAAGGCAUGGACAUCUGGCAUUUAUUUAAAAAUAUUUGCAUUAUACCCAAUAACAUGCCACAUUACCUGCCCUCAGUCUUUCCCUGGCUGAUCCUGCCCCAUCCUGUGUCAUAGUAACUCUUUCUCUCAUGAAUCUCUUGUGGGUCCCCAGUUGCCACUUGCUUGGCUGAUCAACUCUUUAUUAACUAAUAAGAGGUAAAACAAUUUUUACAUUAAAACUUCCAAAUUACUUGCACCUCUAUUGAACAGAGUAUACGUCAUUAAGAAACUAGUAGUUGUUUCUUCGAGGGCUGCUCUUUACUGAAGGGAAAGGGAAGAGCAGUGGAUUGGGAGGAGAGAGGAGAUAGAAGAGAGCUGGGAGAGAGGAGUGGAGGUAGAGGAAACCGUGGCCAGGAUAUAUUGUAUGAAGGAUCAGUUUUCAUGGGGGGGGGAGAAAGAGAGAGAGAGAGAGAGACAGAGACAGAGAGAGAGACAGAGACAGAGAGAGAGACAGAGACAGAGAGAGACAGAGAAAGAAAGAAAAUUAAGAGAGAGAAAGAAAGGGGGAGAGACAGCAGUGGGGGAGGGAAAAAGGAGGGAAAGAAAGAAAGAAAGAAAGAAAGAAAGAAAGAAAGAAAGAAAGAAAGAAAGAAAGGAAGAAAGAUAGAUAAAGAGAGAGGUCAUUCAUUAAUCUAUCUUUGCUUUGUUACCAGUUUGUUUUUGGAUAAAUAACUUCAAUUUAAUUCUAUUUAAUUUAAUUCUAUUUAAUUUAAUUCUAUUUAAACAUAAUUUAACACUUGAUACUAUUCAAAUUCAGUUAUAUCAACCAAUAUAACAUUGCCUCCAACAUUGUUAAGAUUUUGAAGACAGGAAUAGUUGAAACUAUUGAAAGCAAUAGUUUAGUCAAAUCUCUAAAUAGGCCUAGAUUUUUAGCUAUCUAGGAUGAGUACAUCCAAACAAGAUAGAAUGUGUAUAACUAAUUAUCUUAAGUAACCUACUAUUAUAACUCCCAAGCUGGAGAUACAAAGAGGCUAAUUGCAUGCUAUAAAUCAAAUCUUGAGAAGCUAUUUCUUCUUGUCUCAGAGUGCUUAUAUUCCGCAUGUUAAAAUAUUCUUAUCAAAAUCCCCAAACCAUAUGAUGUAGUUUCACAUAUACUGUGUCCAGACCAUCUUAAUCAGUUGGUCUAGAAUGGCUUUUCAUGUAUUAGAACCUCCACCACAGAGGAAUUCUUUCUCAAGUAGAUUCUAAUCCUACCAGCAGGGUCCUCGAAAAGUAUGAAAUUUGUCAGUAGUGUAUUAAUGACACAGUUGACUGUUUUUAUUUGAAUCCAUAAUGACUCCCAAUAGGGCUAAGUUUUGAAAUUUUUACUCUGGCUUAUGACACUGUUUUAUAAUCUAUGAAUCCUUUAGAUGAUUGCCUUUGUUGAGGAUAAUAGCUCUUGGAAGGUCACGCUGUCAAAAAUUAUAUUCUCCUCUUACUGAGGUCUAUUUUCUACUUCCUGGCCAGACCUUAUAUGUUUAUCUCCACCUUACAGCCUCAUCCCCAAGAACAGUCUCUUUUUUUUUCUCCAUGUUUUCUGCCUUUCUUGCUGUUUUUCAUUUACAUUUCAAUUGUUAUUCCCUUUCCUGGUUUCCCUGGACAUAAGCCCCCUAUCGCAUUCCCCUCCUCUUCUUCUGUAAGGGUGUUCCAAUCUUCAACCAACCCUCCUUCCCGCCCCCCAACAUUUCCCUACACUGUGGAGACCAGCCUUGGCAGGACCAAGGGCUUCUCCUUCCAUUGAUGAACCAGAAUAACUCCUUCCAAAUCAAGGUCAUCCUCUGCUACAUAUGCAGAAGGAGCCAUGGUUUGGUCCAUGUUAGUCUUUGGGUAGUGGUUUAGUCCCUGGGAACUCUGGUUGGUUGACAUUGUUGUUUUCAUGGGGCUGCAAGCCCCUUCGGAUUUUUCAAUCCUUUCUCUAAUUCCUUCAACGGGGAUCCCAUUCUCAGUUCAAUGGUUUGCUGUUAGCAUUUGCCUCUGUACAGAGUUUCUCUUAUUAUGUCCUUCCUGUUGGGCCACAAUUCGUGUGGACUCUGAAAUCAUUAGCCAAAAGAAAUCUUUCCUCACUUAAAUUGUUUCUCCCAGAUGUAUUGUCACAAGGAUGGAAAAAAUAACUGAAUAUAUUAGGCUUGUAUUAAUACAAAUAUAUGGUUGUGGGUAGCUGUAAUUCCAGAAUCUGAGGGGCAACAGCACAGAAGAUCUAAAGUUGGGGGUCAGCCUUGGGUGCACAGUGAGUGCCACGCCAAUAUUAGCAACAUAACUAAUAGAGAGAAUGCAUCUCAAACAAAAAUAGAUUUAUAUUAAUAUACUGCCUAAUACAUAGAAUAAUGUAAUUUGUCUUAAUCACAUCAGGAAGAGGUAGUCAUUAGCAGUGAUUCUGAGAAAGGAUUAAAAUCAGUUUUCCAUAAGAAUAUCUGCUCCCAGCUUUGAGUUCCUAGGACAGGAAUUUCAUAUCCUGCCUUUUAUCAGCACGCCCAUAGUUCUGGUGUUUAUUUGUAUAAGUUACUGUUACCUCACUAUUCUGAAAGUGGUGUUCCUCUCCUGUUUAUAUAUCAGGUAAUGACUAAUCAAAUACUUAAUGAACCAGGAUAACCACUUCCAAAUCAAGACAAAUGAGAAUGAAUAAUGUUCACAGACUGGUUUUAGUGUGUGUGUGUGUGUGUGUGUGUGUGUGUGUGUGUGUGUGUGUGUGUGUGUGCGCGCGCGCGCGCGCGCGUGCAUGCGCUGGUAUGCGAUUCUUUAAACAUUCAUUAAGCUUGGUGUUAUAAUAAAUGGUUAGAAAAUUUGAGUGUAACUCUUUUUACACUCAAAAGACUAAUAAGCUGCAUUUUUCUUAAUUCUCUACUAUAUAUUUCAGAGCUCUUUGAACUUUAUAAGAAAAAUAUUUAGAGAAUGUGUUGAUACUGAUAAUAUUCUUAAAUUUCAAGAGGUGAAUAUAAUUAUAGAAAAUAUGACAAAGUUGAAGUCUUUGAGGGACAGGAUCUUAACUCUUUGACAAAACAAAAAGAUACAAAGGUAAACAAAAUUUCUAAAUCCAAGGCAUACAUGACCUUAGUGCAUCUCGUUUAACUUUAUUUAAGUCUAACUGGAUGCUUUGCUCUGAAAAGAUACCAUGAACAAAACAGCGCUUAAAAAGAAAGCAUUUUUUAUCUUUUUUUUUUCGGGGCUGGGGACCGAACCCAGGACCUUGUGCUUCCUAGGCAAGCGCUCUACCACUGAGCCAAAUCCCCAACCCCCCCAAAUGCCUCUCAAAUAGCAAACAUUCAAAUGACUAACUAUCUUUUUUCGAAUAUCUCAAAAUCUCUUGUUGAGGCUUUCCUUAUUUAAGAUGGUUGGUAAUCAUUUUAUUUCAUUUUAAAGAAAUUUUGUCUUACACUCAUUUUUUUAUACUAGCUUAACUCUCAAUUGUAGGAUUUCAAUGUUUGUAGCAGAGCAGCAUAACCUUGUCGUACCCCCUUUGGGGCUGGAGACCACAAUCAGAAUGCAUUUCAACAUUUGCUGUUGUGUUCCAUAAAUUUAUGUCAAGGCCCUACAAUUCUCUCGUCUGACUUCUUGAUCUGUAACAGCUUCCAAGAUUGCUGCUUCUGUUAUUAUGUCAAAGGCUUUUCAAGGAACAUAAAUGGUACGCACAAUGGCUGAGAAAACCGGUUCAGCUUCUCCAUUUACAGAUUUAUGGACUGAAGAGUGCAGAGAAUAAAACAUCUUUUCAAUGCCACUCUAUCCUUUGGUUUGAUUCACUAUCCAGAUGACUACCUAGUUAAAAUUCAGAGAAAUAAAAUGCCCAUAGGCGUAUGAUUAACACUUUAUUUGCUUCCUGAGCCUCGAGGUUGCCUUUAACUCAUUCUGGUUUGUACCAAGAUUUUACAACUGAUUUAAAAUUAACCUUGAGGUCUGUAACUUCUAGUGGGACUUUUUUGAAAGGUAUAAUCAUUCUUUCAGUUUGCCAUCUCCCCUCAUGAUAACUAUUCAUAGAGAUUAAUAUGAUUUCUAUAAGCAAGUAGUAAUUAAUAUUUCCUAUAAAAUAAAUUCUCACAAAAUGAGGGUUUUUUAUAUAAAAUAUCAAUUCAAUACAAUUAUUACUGAAAAUUGAAAGUGUCAAAUCUUUUCCUUCAACUUAAAAGUGUCUGGAAUUUACAUCAAUAAAGUAGGACAUGAAGAAACAAUAAAAAGAUUUUAGCUCAUAAGUUUCCAGUUGCAGGGGUAAUAGCAAGCUUAACGGUUUCACUUGGGAAAACACCCAUUAGGGCAAGAGGUAGUUUGAGUAAGUGGGGCAUGAGAGAGGCAAGGGAUCUCAGGAAUCUGGUCACCAGUAGGGCUGUAGUUAGUAUGCAUGGGUUGCCGUGUGAUACCCACUGCAAGUCUUGCUAUUCAAGGGCUGCCAUCUACUCCUGGGUGGUUUAGGAUUGUUGACUAGACUAACCCAAACAUGAGACCCAUGGAAAACUGGAGGAAGGACUACACUGAGAUCAAUGAAAGUUUGGUUUGGCCGAUUUGCAUGUUAAUAGCAAAGGAGAUUUGUUUGCUAAGUACAGGAAUAUGACUAUGACGUGACUAACAAAGGCUGUAUUCAAGGAUCUGUGAAAUGCCAUUGACAAACUACAGUGUAAUAAGUAAUAUAGCUCUAGAGUGGUAAACACUCUAACAAAGGCUGUAAACACUCUAACAAAGGCUAUAUUCAAGGAUCUGUGAAAUGCCAUUGACAAACUACAGUGUAAUAAGUAAUAUAGCUCUAGAGUGGUAAACACUCUAACAAAGGCUGUAAACACUCUAACAAAGGCUGUAUUCAAGGAUCUGUGAAAUGCCAUUGACAAACUACAGUGUAAUAAGUAAUAUAGCCCUAGAGUGGUAAACACUCUGCAAUUAAUGCCAACAACAUCUCCAGAUGAUUUCUGUUUAUUUAUUUAUUUAAUGUUUAUGUACACUGUAUACUGUAUCUGUCUUCAGACAUACAUACCAGAAGAGGGCAUCAGAUCUUUUUAAAGGUGGUUAUGAACUACAAUGUGGUGGCUAGGAAUUGAACUCAGGACCUCUAGCUAGUCAGUGCUCUUAACUGCUAAUCUCUCCAGCCCUGCAAAUAAUCUUUAAGGUUGUUACUUAAAAUGGGAUUCCCAAUCUGUCAUAGUGACCACUGAUUACAGGACCAGUACAAGAAAUAGUAAGGUGCUUAGUUUCUUGUGCAUAAACUAUAAAUUUAAGAAGACAAUUAAAUCUAAGUAAUGCACUACCUGACCCACCAAAAAAGUCCAAAGGAAAAUAGAACUAGAAAAACAAUUAGUUUUUUUACACUUCUUUAUAACACAUAUUCAUUAAUUUUCUCAAUCACAUACCAAGUCAUAUGUGAAGUUCUUUCAUAUAAAGUUUUUGUUUUCAUUCUUGUUAUGCACACAAGUUUGUGUAUGCUAAACUGUUUGGAAAAGACCAUGUUCAAGGACAUGAGAAACUUGUCUGAAUCAUUCUCUUGGAGAAUGCCAAUGAAAGCCACAUCUACUAUUUCACUUCUUCUCUUUAUCCUUUCAUCCUGUGAUAUAUUGGCAAGGACUUAGUAUUCAUGGUUUUUUUCACAGCUGGAAAAGUUACCAUAAGAUUAUGUUUUACUGGCAUCUAGAAGCUUAUAGAAGUGAAGUACUUUGGAACAUUUUUCCUCACUACUAUCCUAUCAUUUCCAGACAGACCAGAAUCUACUUUGAUUGUUUAUUUACUCAUAUUAUCAGCCAUUGUGUUGUGACACGAGGGAGAGGAACACUGGAUGAAGAAUAACCUCAGAAUCAAGAGGGCCUAGGAAAGACACAUCUGCAGUGUUACUCCUCAGGCGAGCCACCAAGUCUCUACCUUCUAUGAUUUCACUGAGUUCUGUGGACAAGGUUGGGCAGUGAGACUCUGAGAAGGGUUACAGGUGGGUACAAGAGCUGUGCACAAAGAAACUAGAUUCUGUCAUAGAUUAAGUAAGAUGAGGAUACUGGAGCUCUACAAACACUACAUCUGAGAUGAGAAGCACUGCUAUGUCUAAUGAAGAGAGUCCACGGCUACACUUGAAUCCCAGUUAUCUGUGAGGUUCAUUACAAUUCUUGGUUUCUUAAGCAUGCUUGGCCCACUUCAGAGUAAUCUUCCACUUUAGAAGUAGCAGGGAUGGAAUAGUCAUGGGGUUAGUCAUGUGAGGGAUAGAAAGUACUUAGGUUGAAAAUGAGUAAGAAUGAGUUUACAAGUAUUCACAAGAGAGUUCAAGGGAUCUUUUAUACAAAGGUAUAGUGUAGAAAAGUCACAUUCAGAGUGGCUAAACAACUUAGAAAAAGAAAUUGUGGUAGGUCAUUUGUUGACAAGUUAAACAUAAUGACAGAUUAAUCCAGAUCGAAGAAAAUAGAAGUGGACUGACAAUCAACAUUGUUAUUUAAACAGUGUGGCUUUUAAUCCUGAAUUUUAACCUUUAUUGACUUUAGUUCAAAACAUUAUUUCUUCGCCAUAUUUUAAAAUUUAUUUCUUUCAUAUUUUAAGAUCAUAUCCCUCCCCUCUUUCUCUCUCUCAAAACCCACAUAUCUUUUACUGCUUUUUCAAAUCAAAAGCCUCUUUUUAAAAUUACUUUUUGGUAUUUGACACUUGCAGAAGUUUGGGGCAAAAGAGAAUCAAAGAAAACCAGGCUUUCAGGCUUCUAAAGGUCUUGUUGAUGGUUUAUAAAAGACUUUGGAUAACCAUUGCAGUUCCUGUUGUCUGGUGUUUAAGGUGUUGAGGCAGUCAUGCAAAGGGUUCAGAUAAUUUAAGGGUUGGUAGUAUUUCUAAUUACACUCUUUUUAUCCUUCUCUGAUACUGUCAAACAACCAGCUAUGAUUUGGAGUCUUAUCUAAAUGAAAUAUCAAUAUAAGAAAAACAUCAUAGAUAGAUAAAUCAAUUGAUCAUUUGAUAGAUAGAUGGAGGCAUAGUCAUAAGUAUAAAUUUAGGUAUAGAUAUAGAUGUUAUACUUUAUUAUGUUUAAUAAUUUUAUUAAUUUGUGUUAUCCUUCUGUCACUGUUGCCAUCUGCAAUUUUUAUGUCACUGUGUCUGUAUUUCCUUGCCAUUUGGAGUUAGGUAAUCUAAGCUGGAUUCUUAAUUUUCUCUUUGUUUAUGCCUAUAAUCAGUAAUUGUUUUCAUUAAUGAUUUGACGAAAUGUGGGAAAAUUCAUGUGCACCAUAAAACUUCUAGCCUCUUGUCAGGAGAUCCUAUCCCAGUGGUGAUAAUGAAGAAUUUAGUAUGUUGUUGACCACUGAUUAAAAGAUAUCUGAAGAUACACGAAGCAUUGUUAUCUCAACAUGUAUAUAUAGAAAUGAAUUCAGAAUUAUGAAGAUGCAACUCUAAAACAUGCCUAUUGCAUUAGAUUUAAGUUUGAUUUAAUGCUUAGUACUAUGAUUCAAUUUUCUGGGUAUUAUUGCCUUAUGAUAUUUUAAUUUCUUAAGAUGUGUCUUUUGACAUAAUCUUUCACAUGAGACAAACAACUAAGUACAAAUGAUACUGUGUGCAUAUUUGGAUAAUUAUAGUCUUUUCUGAACUCUUUAUGCCAUUUUUCAUUCAUUUUCCAAGAAAUAUAUUUUAACAAAAAUUUAAAAUCAUAGCUUUCACAUUUAUUCAUAUAUUAGAUAUUUGCCACAGUGUUCUAUAAAUUUUUGUUCACAGUUCUUUCCCUAUGCCUUAGGUUUUAGCCAGAAACCUUUUAAAAUUCAUCAUUAAUCUGGUGAUGCAUAUUGGUUUUCACCCUGUUGAUCCUCUUCAGUUUUAUUCUGUCUUAUGUUUAAUUUUACUUUGUCAGGAUACUUGAUUUUAUAGUGUUCUUUUUCCAAAUAAUAUUUUAGGAGUAAGUUUCAUGAAAAUGAAAUUUCAAGAAUUCAGGAAUUUAAUGCUAUAUGCUUUGAAAAUAGUACACAACUUCAAGUAGAAAUUAUCAAAAACAGUAAUGUGUCAUCCUAUGGGAUUGUAGCAUGCAUCUUUCCAGACUAUAUCAUCCUUAGCUAAGUAAAACUCUGAAUUCUACCAAAGUGGGAUAGUCUUAUGUGUUCUUGAAUUUCAUAUACAUGGAACCACCAUGGAAUAAAAUUUUGGUAAAGAUCUUUUCCCAAUCUGUUGGUUGCCAUUUUGUCCUAAUGACAGGGUCCUUUGCCUAGAGAAGCUUUAAAAUUUUAUGAGGUCCAAUUUGUUGAUUCUUGAUCUUGGAGCAUAACCCAUUGGUGUUCAGUUCAAGACAUUUUCCCCAGUGCCCAUGUGUUCAAGGCUCUUCCUUGUAUUCUUCUAUUGGUUUGAGUGUAUCUGUUUUCCGUGGAGGAGAUCCUUGAUCCACAUGGACUUGAGCUUUAUACAAGGCAAUAAGAAUGAAUUGAUUUUCAUUUUUCUACAUGCUGACCUCCAAUUGAACCACCACCAUUUGCUGAAAAUGUUAUCUUUUUUCCAUUGGAUGGUUUUAGUUUCUUUAUCAAAGAUGAAGUGACCAUAGGACUGUGGGUUCACUUCUGUGUCUUCAAUUCUUUUCCAUUGAUCUACUUACCUGUCUCUGUACCAAUCCCAUAAAGUGUUUUUUAAUUUUUUAUUAGGUAUAUUUCUUCACUUACAUUUCAAAGGUUAUUCCCCUUCAUGGUUUCCUGUCUAUAAGCCCCCAUUCCUUCUCCCUCCCCCUCCCCCAUACAGGUAUUCCCCCUAUACAUUCCCCUUAUUGCUUCCCCAUAUUCCCCUACACUGGGGGUCCAACCUUGGCAAGACUAAGGGCUUUCUCUUCCACUGGUGCCCCAACAAGGCUAUUCUCUGCUACAUAUGCAGUUGGAGCCCUGGGUCAGUCCAUGUGUAGUCUUUCAUAGUGGUUUAAUCCCCGGAAGCUCUGAUUGAUUGGCAUUGUUGUUUUUAUGGGGUUGCAAGUUCCUUCAACUCUUUCAAUACUUCCUUUAAUUCCCACCCAAGGGGGUCCUAUUCUCAGUUCAGUGGUUUGCUGCUAGCAUUAACCUCUGUAUUGUACAUGCUCUGGAUGUGUCUCUCAGGAGAGAUCUAUAUAUAGUCCCUUUCAGCAUGCAUUUUUUAGCUUCAUCAAUCUUAUCUAGUUUUGGUGGAUAUAUAUAUAUGGGCCACAUGUGGGUCAGGCUCUGAAUGGCCAUCCUUGAGUCGCUGCUCUAAACUUUGCAUCCAUAUCCCCUCCUACGGAUAUUUUCCCCCUCCCAUACAGUUUUUAAUCACAUUUGCUCUGUAAAACAAUUUGAGGUCAGAGAUGGUUAUUCCCCAGAAGUUCUUUAUUGUUAAUGAUAGUUUUUGAUAUCCUGGGAUGUUUUUAGUCCAAAUGAAUUUGCAAAUUGCUCUUUCUGACUCUAUGAAGAAUUGAGUUGGAAUUUUGAUGGGGAUUGCAUUGAAUUUGUAUGUAGAUUGUUUUUGGCAAGGUGGCUAUUUUUACUAUAUUAAUCCUGCCUAUCCAUGAGCAUAGAAGAUCUUUCCAUCUUCUGAGAUUUUCUUCACUUAUUUCUUCAGAGACUUGAAGUUCUUGUCAUACAGAUCUUUCACAUGCUUGGUUAGAGUCACACUGAGGUACUUUAUAAUAUUUGUGAAUGUUGUGAAAGCUAUUAUUUCCCUAAUUUUUUCUCAGUCUGUUUAUCCUUUGGGUAGAGGAUGGUUACUGAUUUGUUUGAGUUAAUUUUAUAUCCAGACACUUUGCUGAGGUUGUUUAUCAGGCUUAGGAGUCUGGUAGAAUUUGUGGGGUCAAUUAAGUGUACUAUCAUCCGAUAUAGGGCUAAUAUACAAUAUAUACAAAGAACUCACGAAGUUAGAUUCCAGAGAAACAAAUAACCCUAUUAAAAAUGAGAUACAGAGCUAAACAAAGAAUUCUCAACUGAGGGAUACUGAAUGGUAGAGAAGCAUCUAAAGAAAGGUUCAAGAUCCUUAGUCAUCAGAGAAAUGUAAAUCAAAACAACCCUGAGAUUCCACCUCACACCAGCCAGAAUGGCUAAGAUAAAAGAACUCCUGAAAAAAAGAUGCUGGCAGGGAUGUAGAGAAAGAGGAACACUGAUGGUGGAAUUGCAAGCUGGUACAACCACUCUGGAAAUCAGUUUGGAGGUUCAUCCAAAAAUUGGACAUAGUACUACCUGAAGACUCAACUAUAUUAUUCCUGGACAUAUUCCCAAAAGAUAAUCCAACAUAUAACAAGGACACAUGCUCCACUAUGUUCAUAACAGCCUUAUUUAUAAUGGCCAGAAGCUGGAAAGAACCCAAAUGUCCCUCAACAGAGGAAUGGAUACAGAAAAUGUGGUACAUCUACACAAUGAAGUACCACUGAGCUACUAUAAACAAUGACUUCAUGAAAUUCAUAGGCAAAUGGAUGGAUCUAGAAAAUAUCAUCCUGAGUGAGGUAACCGAAUCAUAAAAAGCACACAUGGUAUGCUCACUCAACUCACUGAGAAGUGGAUAUUAGCCCAAAAGCUUGGAUUACCCAAGAUACAAUCCAUAGACCAUAUGAAGCUCAAGAAUUAGGAUGGCCAAAGUGGGAAUGUCUCAGGCCUUCUCAGAAGGGAGAACAAAAAUGUUCAUAGAAAGAGAUAGGGAGAGAAAGUUUGGAGCAGAGACUGAAGGAAAAGUCAUCCAGAGACUGCCCCAACUAGUAUCCAGCCCAUAUACAUACAGUCACCAAACCCAGACAAUGUUGUUGAUGUCAAGAAGGGCAAGCUGACAGGAGUCUGAUAUAGCUGUCUCUUAGAGGAUCUGCCAGAUCAUGAUAAAUACAGAGGCAGACUGCUCUCUGGCAGUCACUGAACUGAGAACGGGGUCCCCUUUGGACAAGUUGGAGAAAGGAUUGAAGGAGUUAAGAGGUUUGCAACCUCAUAAGAACAACAGUGUCAAACAACCGGAGUUCCCAGGGACUAAACCACUACCCAAAGACUACACAUAGACAGACCCACGGCUUCAACUGCAUAUGUAGCAGAGGAUAGCCUGUUAGGCGCCAAUGGGAGGAAAAGCCCUUGGUCCUGCCAAGGCUUAACACCUCAGUGUAGGGGAAUAUUAGGGCGUGGAGGCAAGAAUGGGUGGAUGGGUUGGUAGUAAAACACCCCGAUAGAAGAAGGGGGAAGUGAGAUGGGAUAGGGGGUUUAAGGACUGGGAACCAGGAAAGGAGAUAACAGUUGAAAUGUAAAUAAAUAAAAAAAUCCAGUAAAAAAUUUAAAAAAAAGAAAUCAAUUUUUGACAGGGUGUCUGUGUGUAAAGUUUUACUUGCUGGUUGUGAUUUUGUCUUAUGGAUAUAACUAACUGUUGAUUCACAUUUUAAUAGAAAUAUGAAACUUUCUGGUUGUCAACUUUUGUGAAUAAAUACAAAAUAAAUAUUCUUGAUCCUCUGUCAUUUGCGAGUAAAUACUUUUCCCUAUGUUGGAGAAAUGCUCAAUGAAAACACUGUUUAUCAUGAGAAAGAGAUAACUUAAUUAUAUAAGACACUGCUGAUUUUCUUUCUUCAAAUGUCUCUAUGAGCUCAUACGUGCCUCGCUUAGAUUAUUCAGAUGGUCUGGUUCUCCUGGUGACCUCCAUUACCUCUAGCUCCUACAAUCUUUCCAUCUCCCCCUCAGCCGGAUUCUCUAAAGUCUACAGCUCCUCUUUCUACCCCAUGCUUUCUAGUGUCUACAGGUGUUCACUGCCGCUGUGUUCAUGAUUACAUUCAUACUGUUAAUUUUUAAACUGGAAACAAUUCCCAUCCUAUUAAGUAUAAGUCACUGGAUUAUCUAAAUUUUUGACAAGGUAUUGUUCUAUGAACAGCAUAAACUCAUAGUAACUGAAUUCUUAUUUCUGCUAUAUUUAAUAUUUGAAACCUGAAAACAUAUUAAAGACAAUAUAUGCACACAUGUUCACACUUAUGUUCAUUCCCAAUUCUAUGCACUAGGUGCCUUUUGUCUUUUCUACUUCCAUUAGAAUGAAUUUUUUUCAGUUAUGUUAUUCGGUUGAAUCGUUUAUAUUCUAUUUGUCGGUAGAGCAUUUUCUCAGUUGGAAUUUAGUCAUGAUGCAGUAGCAAAGAAUUAAAAAGAACAAAACCAGUUUACUGACACAAGUACAGUCUCAAACACAGAACAGGAGAAGAAAAUAGUAAUAGUAGAUCUAGAUCAUGCGUCAUACCCCCAAAUAAAUUUCACAUGAUGAUGAUGAUGAUGAUAAUAAUAAUACGUUCCAUAAUAUUUCCAUGUUCCAAAUCCAAACUUCAUUUUUAUAAUUGAAAUAUUUGAAAAAGAAAAAUGUAUUAGAUUAUUUAUACAUUUUUUUCUCAGCAUGGUUUCUUUUCAGGUUUCGAAUUUUUGUUCCCAGGUAGCAGCAGUACAGGACAAAUGUUCAGGGUUAAACACCGAUGUUCAUUUGGACACCACAUAUUCAACCUAGAAUUAAUAUGAAACUUCUAAAAAACCUAUCAUACAAUAAAACUUACCUGAAAUAUUGUUAUUUCAAGAUUUCAUUAACUUUAGGCAAUUUUCUUUAAUACCAAAAGUGUGAAUAAAAUAUUCAUUGCAGCAGGCCAUUUAUUUUUUAAUAGAGUUGGAAUGUGUUACCCUCCUAUCACACUUUCAGUGACCUCUGUGCUGCUAUAAAUGCAACCAACUAGAGGUAACAGAAGAAAGAGCGGCAAGAGUAUACUUGGCUGUGUGUUUUAGAAAUCUCAUUGCUUCAUUAUGCUGUAUUUCACUUUGGAUCUUAAUCCUACAUAAUAUAUUUACUAUACAUGUGAUUGGGAAAUGGAUUUGAAUGUAUAUGAUUUAGAUUGCACACAUAGGUAUAUAACUAUAUAUAACUAUAUAUAACUAUAUAUAUAACUAUAUAUAGUGUAUAUGUAUUUAUAUGCACAUAUAAAUAUCCUCAUGAAUAUGUAAUAAAACAGAUAUGAAAAUGUAGGUGUUAUAAGUAUGUUUCUUCUAAAUAACUUUUCACAUAUUUGAAGGCAAUGAAUGUCUAAGUAGAAAUUUCUGGUUAUAUGUCCUCUUCUAUCAGAACUUUAAAAGUAUUAUUGUUCAUUCAUAAACUCAUUAAGUGUUUUAGUGCUGUGUUUUCAUGGGUUCACGAUAUAGUUAUACAUAGAAGAAUUAAAUUUAGGCUGGUGUGUGUGUGUGUGUGUGUGUGUGUGUGCGUGUGUGUGCUUGCAUAUGUGCAUGUGCAAAUACAUAUGUGUGUAUGUUAUUUGUUAUUGUUUAUGCCGAAUCAGUUGAUUCAAAUGCUCCCAUUAGCUGGCUACAGUGAUUAUAUCACUCUCAUACAUGCUCAUGUUUUCAAUAAUCUUCAUGCAUUAUUACCUCAUUAAAUUUUUUUUAGUGUUGGUUGUUGAAAUAUAACAUAUUGGGGUCAGCAAACAAUGAAGAGAAAGAAAAGUAAAAAGAUUCUCUACUUAUUUCCUCUUUCAUUGUGCAUUUCCACUUUUUAUAGCUCAUGUAAGGAAUAAAAAAAAUUAAACAUCUUGAUAUCAUUUUGUGUAUUAUAUUAGCUCAGGAUGAGAUAUUUUAAAAAAAUCAUUAAGGGAACACUUACUCGGAAAGAAACUGUGAUCUGAUCAGCUCUUACUUUUGAAACUUCACACACUCCUCAUGAAUCCAGCGGGUAAAAUAGACACAAAGGAAAUUUUAAUAAAUUUGACUUUUAUACUGUGAUCAAGUCAUUUCAAUUAUGUUCUUAUUUCCAAGGGCAUUCACACUUGCUGUACUCAUUAAAUUAUAUUAGUUCUGAAAGAGUCUUGUGAAAAUGGAACAGGUUUUAGUUGUUAAUCCAUGAACAUAAACAUCUUUCAUGUCCUUACUUGUAUAAAGAAUCCAUAAGAACUCUAUGGACCAUCUGUCUGUCUUUCUAUCAAUUUACUACUUAACUUCUCAUUUCAAUAUACCCCUAUAUCCUGUGCUCCCAAGAUUCUCAGUAAAGACAUCAUAAGUAGCAAAGCGUUCUGAAACAUAUGCAUAGAAUGUUUUACUUUUAUUUAACUAAUAUCUAGUAAUGAUCUUAGAAUACUUAAGUAUUUUAUAAUUGUACACCUAGCUUUUUACCAAUUGCUUAGAAAAAAAUCAUUAUUAUUAAAGUAUACUUUUAAAAGUUGUUCAUCUAUUUUUUAAUAAACAUAAUUUAUAUUUAUUUUAUUUAAUAUCUUGCCAACGAGUCAAAUUAAAUUAUAUGUUUAUUUUAAUAUGAUAAGCAGAAUAAACAUAUAAACCCAAAUAAUACCAUUAUUAAAAUGUAUGUGUUAUACACCACACAUGAAGAAUGGUCAGAAGAAUACAAAAGGGAUGAGAGACAAGAAAGAUAAAGACUAGAAAGGGUAAGAAGGAAGGAAGGGAAAUGGAUACUUCAGAGUGUAUGGAAAAAGAAAAGUUAAGAGUCUGGAGUAAGGCGUAAGGGAGAGGAGAAGAGAGAGGUGAGGGGCAUGUUCAUAGUCUUCAAUGGUUCUUCUACUAAUAUUCCUGGCAAGAAUUUGCAAUGUUCUCUUCAUUUCACAUUUUCACCAACUCAUUAACUUCCAUUAUCUUGACAAGUCCAUUUUGGCAGGUGCGAGGUGGUACCAUAUUCAGGUUUUAAUUUCCAUUUUUCCAAACGAUUAGUACUGCUUAGCCUUUUUAUAUAUUUACCGACUAUAUUUAUAUUGUAUUUUUACAAUGUUGAAAUUGUUUGUUUGAGUGCUUUGCUCAGUUUUCAACCAGUACAUUUGUAUUCUCAGUGUUUUUGGUAUAAACACAUAAUAGUAUGUGACCCAGCUAUUGCCUAAAAUAUUGAAGAUCAUUAUGCUAAAGAUAUAGAGAUAUUUCCCACACUCCUUGCAUCAUGUUUAUAAAAGCCAAGUGAUAGAGUCAAUCCUAAUUGUAAAAUGGAAACAGAUAGUUCCUGAAUGGAUAAUCAAAUGCUAUGUGUGUAUAUUAUAUAGUAUUUUAGGGCUAAACUCCUGAUACCAGGCAGCUGAGCCUGGAAUACAUCUUUUGUUUUAUUUAUUUUUUUAUCUUUUUCAUUUUUUUAUACUCCAGAUCUUGUUCCCCUCCUGGCCCACCCCCCUCCAACUGUUCCACAUCUCAUACCUCAUCUCCCCUCACUGUCUCCACAAAGAGACCCUACUGACUCCACCAGACCUCUAAACUUCCUUGGGCCUCCAGUCACUUGAGGGUUAGGUUCAUCUUCUCUGACUGAACCCAGACCCAGGAGUGCUCUACUGUAUGUGUGUUGGAGGUCUCAUCUCAGCUGGUGUACGCUGCCUGGUUGGUGUUCCAGUGUCUGAGAGAUCUCAGGGUCCAAGUUAACUGAGACUGCUGGUUCUCCUACAGGGUUGCCCUCCUCUUCAACCUCCUCUAGUUUUUCCCUAAUUCAACCAGAUGCGUCAGCAGCUUCUGUUCAUUGGUUGGGUGCACAUAUCUGCAUCUGACUCUUUCAGUUGUUUGUGUGGGUCUUUGGGAGGGCAGUCAUGAUAGGUCUCUUUUUGUGAAGGCCCAAUAGCCUCGGAUAUGGUAUCAGGUCUUAGGGCCUCCCCUUGAGCUGGAUCCCACUUUGGGCCUUUUUGCUCUACCUCCUUUUCCUUGAGCUCUUCUCCAUUUCCUUCCCUGCAGUUCUUUCAGACAGGAAGAAUUAUGGGUCAGAGCUUUGACUGUGGAAGAGCAACCCCAUGACUAACUUGAUGCCCUGUCCUUCUGCUGGAGAUCGGAAAUGCAAGUUAUGCCUGGGGCUCAUCACUCUAAGGAAGGAAGAGACGCAUCAACAAAUACUGUGUGCUCUCCUUGUCCAGAAUCUGAAGCAAUGGAAUUCAGAUAAGCAGAGUAUGGAGGUGGUGAAUAAAGGCUGAGAUGGUGAGAAAAAUAGUUCAACUUGGCUUGCAGAAUCAGUCUUAUGAGCUGUGAGUCUUGAAGUAGUGAUUUGAGUUACAACAAUACGCAUUGAAUGCAUUGUGUACUUCAAACUAGCUAGGAGUAAAAUUUCAAGGUUCUUGCAGUAGCGCCUAAUGAGUAUUUGAGAAGGGGGGAGUGUUAACCAUCUUCACAACAUUAAUGUACCAUGUGUUAUCAAUAUUUAUCUAUAUAGGUGUAUGUAUCUGUGUGUGUGUGUGUGUGUGUGUGUGUGUGUGUGUGUGUGUGUGUGUGUAGUUUCCUAAGGACCAUCAUGAAGGGUGGAGUGGAUGUACAGGGAGAACAUCAAUGCAGAAUGCAGGACUAAUUGUUUAAUAGUAAAAGAUUUUGUAAGACUUGUUUGCUUGUUUGUUUGUUUGUUUGGAUUGGAGAACUUUUAGUUAACAUAGUGAUUUCUGGGCAUCAGUGUAACUAUGGCGUAUUAACCCCAACAUACUUACUAUGACCAGCCUAUUAACAAAUGACUGAAGUUAUUAUAGACCCUCAAAUUGGAGGAAAUUGCAGGUAUACUGCAGCCAGUCAAGAGGUAGCCGGGACUUACAACAGAUUAUUAGAGGCAAACUGUAAAAAGGCAGACUUUUUUUUUAAUAAUAGACACAAAGAUUCGUUAGUGGAUCUGGUGUGCAAACAAAAUGCAAUAAAGGUUCACAGAAAAGUGGAGAAAAAUGAACUUGCUAUCACCGAAGAAUCUGAAGGUUGAAGUUUCAAGUAAAAGCAGGUUUUGAAAUAAAAGUAAGAUUCAAGACUUCUCAUUUAGAUAUAUAAAAAUUGAAUGGUAAAUUGAAUAUUCAUAUGAAAAUCUGUUGGGCAAUUAGUAAAAUGAAUGUGGAAUAUUGAGGAAAAGACAAAAUGAAAAUACAAACUGUAUUUAAUCUUCACAUUAUAGGUAAUGGAAGGAGUUGAAAUUAGCAGAGAAAUAAAUGUCAAUCAAAAGUUGUCAUACGUCUGAAAUUUGAUAUUAUAAAACUAUGAUUAAGGAAAUAAAAGUAAACUGACAUUGGGAUUUAGUAAUCAAAUGAUAAGGAAAACUCCCAAGUAGCAGAAAUACCUAAGGUUAGAAAUAGCUAUGUCUGUGAAAGAAACUGCAUGAGGAGAACACUGAAGACACACCUCAGGAAACUAAGAAUUAAUGCUGGAUAUGGGCUUAUCACUUUAAGAGGGGCACAUGAGAUCUUAAAGAACACUUUCAAAGAUUUUAGUGGCAUAAACCGAUAAACAUGGGUAGAAAAAUAAUUGCUGACAUAGAAAAUAUAACCAUGAAUGGAUUCAUUUUGUUGAAGUCUAGCAAAACACCUUGAUCUUGACACUUGAUCAAGAACAGAAAUUUAUUCUCUCUGGUUCGGAAGCUCAGAAGUUUAGUCUCAACUUGCUAGCAUCUUACCAUUUCCUAGCACUAUUCUCAGGUGGAGGAUUUGGAGUUCCAAACGGGAAGUCAACUGUCUUUUGGGGCCACUUUUUUUCCUCACUGUUUGUUUGAUUUUCUAUGACUUGUUAUUGUUUGUUUGCCUGUUUAUUUUCCAAAAAGAGAGAAAGAAAGUAAAAGAUAAGAAAGGAGGAAAGAAAGAAACAAAGAAACAAGGAAGCCAAGGGUAAAACAACGAAGCGAGGAAAGGGUAUGGAAUGGAAUUGGGAGAGUAGGAAGGCAUUAGUGGGGGUUGGGAGAGUGGUAAUGAAGAGCAGACUAUAUUGUAUAUUGUAUAUUUUAUAUGGUAUAUUUUAUUAAACUGAUAUUCUAUAUUGAAAAACAAAAUUUUCAAUUAUAAACAGGGAGGAGGAAUUUUUUGUCCUAACAUUGCUGAAGGGCUGAAGAGAAAAAUCCCAUUUCCCCAAUACUUCCCUCCUUUACCUCACCCUGCCCUUCCCUCUCCUCCUCCCUGUUGUGCGUCUUCUCCCUGCAUCUCUUUUAAUUGUUAGAGAGUGUCAUAGCUCAGGAUGGCUUGAACCAUCUCUGUAACCUAGGAUGACAUUCGGUUCCCUGUACCAGUCAAGGGAUGACUUUGCAAGGAGGCAGCAUCAUAAUGACCGGCAAGUUCCUUUUUCCAGUAGCAUCUAUCCUUUUAUAAAGGUGUUGCUCUAAGGGUUUCUAUGCUUUCUGUUAGCCUCUGUUGCCCAAAACUAUUCUUCUGAGGCUUAACUUUUCAAUUCCUGAAGUUGAGAAGGAUCCAGAAUGCGCAGGCUAUAACAUAUUUUCAAGAUAUUUUUCUAUUACACAAAAGACUUGACAUUUGUUUUGUAGUUAAGAUAGUGACUGCUCCAGCGUUUCUGUAUUAUGUGGCCUUUGUUCUUUGUUAACUAAAUGAAUUCUUUGCUGCAAACAAGACAGAAAAUAAGAAAGCACUCAUAUGGCUGAAUUAACAUGCAUUAUGCUUCUAUAAAGUAGAGUAUCAGGCUUCAUCUAUGAAUUGGAGUUUGCCUAUGUUUGUCUACAGAAGAUAAUUAAGGGACACUAACAACACCAUGUUCAGAAUACAGUAGGAAAUUCAUUAACUAGUAAUAAGUUCUUGAAAGUGUUCCUUUAAUAAUGGAAUAUUGCUAGAAUUACCUUUCUUCACUUUAAUUAUGUUAUCAGUAAUAAAGCUUAUUUUCUUAUAACUUACUUGCCAUGAUUUCGAUGGUUAUAAUUCAAAAAAUAAUCCAAUUAUGUCAGUAACAGGUAGCUUAGAGCUUAACCAUGAGCUUUAUGUGGCCUGAGAAAGAGAACAAAAUUAUUAUUUCUGUUAGUAAUAUUUGUUCUCUGUAUUUCUUAUGGUAAUAGGCUUUUAAGUAUUUGACUUUCUGUAAGUUAUUUUUUGGCUGAAUGGCACUUUUUGAGUGUAUGCAUUUUUAUUAAAGAUUAAGCAUGCUGAGUGAAAGGAGCAAGUCAAAAGAAAGGGUGACAAAAAAUGAGAAGGAUCUUCUAAAAGUGUCCAUUCCCUGCAAUAGCAUAAGUUGCUUUCCCAAUCAACUCUUAGGUCAUUGUUAAUUAUGGCUGGCAAAAGCUUCAAGACUAUAAUUCAAAUGCAAAUUUUUCAUGAUCGGAAAUUCUGAUCAAAUUACAUGGUUUCAUAGAAAAGGUUAAAAUAGCACAAAUUACUUGGCUGUGUAUACUACUUAAUCACAAAUUUCUGGACUUUUGUGUAUAGCAAUAGUUUAAACUUCAUCAUUUUAUGGUUGUUUGGACUUUCUACCCAUCUUUGUGGAUUUUCUAUCAAUGUGCCAAAUUCCUGAGACAGACAGGAUGAUUUGUAAAGAAUAGGGAUUUAUUUGUUUCACAGUAUUGGGAAGUUUGAGAGUGAGAAAGAGAGAGAGAUCUUGUAGAGACCUUCAUAUUGCUUCAUGUUAUAUGAGGAAGAGGAAGAACAAGUGACCAUAUAAGAUCUAGAAUGAUGCCCAAGUCCAUCUUUUUUCCCCAAGUACUCAACUAUGCUGGUAAUGACAAAAAAUUUAAAAAAUUAAAGUACCACUGUUUGUGCUGUGUGUGUGAAUUCAUUUGCACUCAUCCAUGUAUAGUGUCUAGUGUUCCAUUUUCUCAUUCUAUGCCUUAUUGCUUUGAGACAGGGUUUCUCACUAAACCUAGACAAGGUUGGUUACAAGAGAGUCUUAGCAGUUAUCCUGUCUUAUACCCCAUGGCACUGGGGUCACACGUCUGCUGGUGGUCAGGUACUAAUUUUUAAAUGAGUCCUUAGAUUUCUUUGAAAUUUUUUUUACAAAAGUUAUUUUCAUGGGCAUUAUUAUUUCUGUUUUGUGUGUUUGGGUAUUUGUCUGUGCAUGAUAUAUAGUAUUACCUCAUUCCCUCAGAGGUCAGAGAGGUUAUUGGAUCCUGGAAGCUGAUAGGAGAGUUACAGAUGGUUGUAAGAAACCAAUGUUGGUGUUAGGAAUCGAGCCUUAAUGCAUUACAAUAAUAAUUACUGUUCUUACUACUAGGCAUCUCUCAAGCCUACUGUACCCAGGACUUCAACUUUAAAAUAUAGUCAGCAUGUUUAUAUUUUAAAGACAUCAACAUUUUAUGUAGAUACACAUGCAUAUAUAUGCAUAUAUAUAUAUUACAUAUACUAUUUAGUUUAUGUUAUCAUAAUAAUUACUUAAUUCCAUAAUUUAAAGUGAUUAGGUAAAUGUUAAAAGAGUCCUGUGACUGAACUCUAUAGAGGUAUAGAGGAGCAGUUAUAAGUAACGUUGUGGUUAAAAGUUUCCUAAAUGUUUCUAGAAAAUAGAUACAAUAUUUAUUUUAUCUUACAGAGAUUAUAUAUAAUAAAUGGAAAUAUUAUAAUCCAAGAAUAUCUACAGGAUAAUAUUGUAAGAUCUCAAUUAUAAAGUUUAAUGAGUUAUUGUUUAGUGUUCUACACUGUAAAAGAAAAAUAUAGCUUAAUUUAAAACCCUAAUAGACACUAUUAUUGAUAAAACAGUCUUGAACAAACCCAAAACAACAAUUGAUAUCUAUUCAAUAUUGGAAGUUCUCGUGUUUAUUUUCAUAUUAUACAAUAUCAGUUUAAUCAUAAAAUUGGAAGUUAUAAAAAAAUAUAAAGGUACGAAGAUUUCUUUUUAUAUUUUUAUUAAAAUAUUUUUUCUCACACAGGAACUCUGGUUAAUGUCUCCCCAGCCUUAACACUUCACAGAUCCUCCGCACCUGCUUACCCACCCAGAUCCACACUCUCUUGCUUUCUCAUAUUAGAAAACAAACAAGCAUCAAAGAAAAACAACUAAAACGUUACAAAUUAAGUAAAAUAAAAAUGAUCAAACUUGAAUAAUACAAAAAAAACAGCAAAAGGCAGAAGAAGCACAUAUAACCACACUAUUUAGGAACACAAAGAUACCACAAAAAAUCAAAUUGAAAACCAUGAUAUAUAAGCAAAAGAUCAAUAAAGCAGAAACAAACAAACAAAAAAGGCCCAGACAUAGCCUUAUGUGACAAAAUGUAUUUUUAAUGUUUGUGACACAUAGCUCAAGACAACUUCCAAAAAUAUUUCAGACUGAUCCCAUAGUUAAUGGUUAUUACUUUCCUACUAUACAGGAUACCUUGAAUUUGACCCUCGGCCACACAAAAAAAGUAAAAAAUAAACAAUAAAACCAUGGUGAAUAACAGAAGCAGAGCUUCUGGCCCUUGUAUUUCUCUUUUCUUGGUUUUUCAUUUACUUUCUGGUCUUCUUGCUACCUUUUUCACAUCCAAGUUUAUUCUCCUGUGCAACUGAAUUCUAGGUUCAAGGAUUACAUUCUUACCAUCUUCUAACAGAAGAAAAUUGUGUGUUUGUUUGUGUGUGUGUGUGUGUGUGUGUGUGUGUGUGUAUGUGUGUGUGUGUGUUACCUGAUCAUUGCUGAGAAAGUUCCUUUUAUUUGAUGGUUUUAUGGUUAAGGUAUGAUUGAAAUAUUUCCUAGUUCCUUGUUUUUUACUUUCCCUUUUGUGUAAUCUGUAAAACUAGAUAUAUUCUCAAAGAUAAUAAAUAGAAUAAGUGCCCUUACUUAACUUUUUAAUUGGGUUGUCAGUUUGAUAAAUAUUUUGUGCAUAUGCAUCCUUACAUAUAUACAAAUAUAUCUAUAUAUCUAUUCCCGUCCUUCAUGUUUACAGUAAUAUGUAUAUAGAUGUGUGUGUGUGUGUGUGUGUGUGUGUGUGUGUGUGUGUAGCAAAUUUUCACAAACUCCCAGGUACAUGGUUAUAUUGAAAAGUUAUACCAACCAAACAUUUAAUGUGAAAGAAUCAUAAUAAAUGUUAAAUAAUUUGGAGGUGUAUAUAAUUCAACUAUUUGUUAAAAAGAAGCAAACUGGGGGCUGGAGAGAUGGCUCAGUGUUUCAGAGCACUGACUGCACUUCCAGAGGUCCUAAGUUCAAUUCUCAGCAGCCACAUGGUGGCUCACAACCAACUGUAAUGAGAUCUGAUGCCCUCUUCGGUUGUGUCUGAAGACAGCUAUAGUGUACUUACAUAUAAAUAAAUAAGUCUUUAAAAAAAGAACCAAAUGGAUUUAACAGAUAUUUGUAGAACAUUGCAUCCUAAAUCAAAAGGAUAUACCUUCUUCUCACCACCUCAUGGAACCUUCUCCAAAAUUGACCAUAUAAUCUGUCACAAAACAGCCCUCAACAGAUACAGGAAAAUAGAAGUAAUCCCAUGCAUCCUAUCAGAUCACCACACACUAAGACUGGUCUUCUAUAACAACUAUAGUGACAGAAAGCCCACAUAUACAUGGAAGUUGAACAAUGCUCUACUCAAUGACAACUUAGUCAAGGAAGAAAUAAAGAAAGAAAUUAAAGACUUCUUAGAAUUUAAUGAAAAUGAAGGUACAACAUACCCAAACUUAUGGGACACAAUGAAAGCUGUGCUAAGAGGAAAACUCAUAGCUCUGAGUGCCUGCAGAAAGAAA
Molecule: non-coding RNA, 38385 nt
Organism: Rattus norvegicus (Norway rat)
Lineage: Eukaryota; Metazoa; Chordata; Mammalia; Rodentia; Muridae
Source: RefSeq, a predicted model, not a curated record